This 783-nucleotide ribosomal RNA is filed under the name Aspergillus fumigatus. RNAcentral describes it as "eukaryotic LSU rRNA". The stretch from base 205 to 358 matches the Rfam family "5.8S ribosomal RNA". Lineage: Eukaryota; Fungi; Ascomycota; Eurotiomycetes; Eurotiales; Aspergillaceae. The record is from RNAcentral.
ACCUGCGGAAGGAUCAUUACCGAGUGAGGGCCCUCUGGGUCCAACCUCCCACCCGUGUCUAUCGUACCUUGUUGCUUCGGCGGGCCCGCCGUUUCGACGGCCGCCGGGGAGGCCCUGCGCCCCCGGGCCCGCGCCCGCCGAAGACCCCAACAUGAACGCUGUUCUGAAAGUAUGCAGUCUGAGUUGAUUAUCGUAAUCAGUUAAAACUUUCAACAACGGAUCUCUUGGUUCCGGCAUCGAUGAAGAACGCAGCGAAAUGCGAUAAGUAAUGUGAAUUGCAGAAUUCAGUGAAUCAUCGAGUCUUUGAACGCACAUUGCGCCCCCUGGUAUUCCGGGGGGCAUGCCUGUCCGAGCGUCAUUGCUGCCCUCAAGCACGGCUUGUGUGUUGGGCCCCCGUCCCCCUCUCCCGGGGGACGGGCCCGAAAGGCAGCGGCGGCACCGCGUCCGGUCCUCGAGCGUAUGGGGCUUUGUCACCUGCUCUGUAGGCCCGGCCGGCGCCAGCCGACACCCAACUUUAUUUUUCUAAGGUGACCUCGGAUCAGGUAGGGAUACCCGCUGAACUUAAGCAUAUCAAUAAGGCGGAGGAAAUCAUUACCGAGUGAGGGCCCUCUGGGUCCACCUCCACCGUGUCUAUCGUACCUUGUUGCUUCGGCGGGCCCCCGUUUCGACGGCCGCGGGGAAGCCCGGCCCCGGCCCCCCGCCGAAGACCAACAUGAACGUGUUUCUGAAAGUUAUGCAGUCGGAGGUUGAAUUAUCGUUAAUCAGUUUAAAAACUUUUCACAA